GUUUUAAUUUUACAUUUAUCAAAUUCUAAGUGUGUCUUAUAAAACAAAUCAAUUACACCCUUUCUGCUUUAAGUAAAUAAUACACUUAAAGAAAUGAUAACUGUUA
This is a long non-coding RNA of Thalassophryne amazonica, 106 nucleotides long. RefSeq lists it as uncharacterized. Lineage: Eukaryota; Metazoa; Chordata; Actinopteri; Batrachoidiformes; Batrachoididae. The record is from RefSeq and is a predicted model, not a curated record. The transcript is spliced from 3 exons.